UACGUAGGGGGCAAGCGUUGUCCGGAAUGAUUGGGCGUAAAGGGCGCGUAGGCGGCUUUAUAAGUCUGGAGUGAAAGUCCUCUUUUCAAGGGAGGAAUUGCUUUGGAAACUAUAAAGCUUGAGUGCAGGAGAGGUUAUCGGAAUUCCCGGUGUAGCGGUGAAAUGCGUAGAUAUCGGGAGGAACAUCGGUGGCGAAGGCGGGUAACUGGACUGCAACUGACGCUGAGGCGCGAAAGUGUGGGGAGCAAACAGG
RNAcentral lists this ribosomal RNA (253 nucleotides) under uncultured prokaryote. RNAcentral describes it as "partial 16S ribosomal RNA". It matches the Rfam family "Bacterial small subunit ribosomal RNA", at positions 524 to 776 of the family's 1533-position model. The record is from RNAcentral.